Molecule: ribosomal RNA, 253 nt
Filed under: uncultured bacterium
Lineage: Bacteria
Description: partial 16S ribosomal RNA
Rfam family: Bacterial small subunit ribosomal RNA
Source: RNAcentral
UACGGAGGGGGCUAGCGUUGUUCGGAAUUACUGGGCGUAAAGCGCACGUAGGCGGCUUUGUAAGUUAGAGGUGAAAGCCCCGGGCUCAACCUGGGAAUUGCAUUCGAGACUGCGUAGCUAGGGUGCGGAAGAGGGAAGCGGAAUUUCCGGUGUAGCGGUGAAAUGCGUAGAUAUCGGAAGGAACACCAGUGGCGAAAGCGGCUUCCUGGUCCAGCACCGACGUUCAGGCACGAAAGCGUGGGGAGCAAACAGG